AUUGAACGCUGGCGGCAGGCUUAACACAUGCAAGUCGAGCGAGCGGCGGACGGGUGAGUAAUGUCUGGGAAACUGCCUGAUGGAGGGGGCUAACUACUGGAAACGGUAGCUAAUACAGCAUACCAUCAGAUGUUCCCAGAUGGGAUUAGCUAGUAGGUGGGAUAAUGGCUCACCUAGGACACGGUCCCUAGCUGGUCUGAGAGGAUGACGAGCCACCGUGGAACAGAGACACGGUCCAUACUCCUACGUGAGGCAGCAGGGGGGAAUAUUGCACAAUGGGCGCAAGCCUGAGGCAGCCACGCCGCGUGUGUGAAGAAGGCCUGCGGGUUGUAAAGCACUUUCAGCGAGGAGGCGUUACUCGCAGAAGACGCACCGGAUAACUCCGUGCCAGCAGCCGCGGUAAU
RNAcentral lists this ribosomal RNA (404 nucleotides) under uncultured bacterium. RNAcentral describes it as "partial 16S ribosomal RNA". It matches the Rfam family "Bacterial small subunit ribosomal RNA", at positions 30 to 524 of the family's 1533-position model. The record is from RNAcentral.